UCUCCGUAGGUGAACCUGCGGAGGGAUCAUUACCGAGUGAGGGCCUCUGGCCCGACCUCCAACCCUUUGUUAUCCAAACCAUUGUUGCCUCGGGGGCGACCCGCGCCCGUCGGCGUCGGGGCCCCCGACGGACCAUUUCAAAACUCUGCAUCUUUGCGUCGGGUUUAAAAAGUUUAAUUGAUUAAAACUUUCAACAACGGAUCUCUUGGUUCUGGCAUCGAUGAAGAACGCAGC
RNAcentral lists this unclassified non-coding RNA (234 nucleotides) under uncultured fungus. RNAcentral describes it as "sequence contains ITS1, 5.8S rRNA gene". The stretch from base 186 to 234 matches the Rfam family "5.8S ribosomal RNA", at positions 1 to 49 of the family's 154-position model. Lineage: Eukaryota; Fungi. The record is from RNAcentral.